UGUUGGAACAAAACGACGAGGAGACGCCGAUAACAAAUGUGCUCGAGUUGUCUAACGAUCUGUAUCACUGAUUCCUAUUGACAACUAAACCAACUAUGAAAGCAAUGUGCCUUCAGGCGAUGACUAAAGUUUAUGGAAAAUAUCACGAAGAGUU
Molecule: long non-coding RNA, 154 nt
Filed under: Dendronephthya gigantea
Lineage: Eukaryota; Metazoa; Cnidaria; Anthozoa; Malacalcyonacea; Nephtheidae
Description: uncharacterized LOC114543242
Source: RNAcentral